Molecule: ribosomal RNA, 468 nt
Filed under: uncultured bacterium
Lineage: Bacteria
Description: partial 16S ribosomal RNA
Rfam family: Bacterial small subunit ribosomal RNA
Source: RNAcentral
GACGAACGCUGGCGGCGUGCUUAACACAUGCAAGUCGAACGGAAAGGCCCUGCUUUUGUGGGGUGCUCGAGUGGCGAACGGGUGAGUAACACGUGAGUAACCUGCCCUUGACUUUGGGAUAACUUCAGGAAACUGGGGCUAAUACCGGAUAGGAGCUCCUGCUGCAUGGUGGGGGUUGGAAAGUUUCGGCGGUUGGGGAUGGACUCGCGGCUUAUCAGCUUGUUGGCGGGGUAGUGGCUUACCAAGGCUUUGACGGGUAGUCGGCCUGAGAGGGUGACCGGCGACAUUGGGACUGAGAGACGGCGCAGACGCGUACGGGGGGCAGCAGUGGGGAGUAUUGCACAAUGGGCGGAAGCGUGAUGCAGCAACGCCGCGUGCGGGAUGACGGCCUUCGGGUUGUAAACCGCUUUCGGCUGUGACGAAGCGUGAGUGACGGUAAUGGGUAAAGAAGCACCGGCUAACUACGUG